CCGGGGAGAAGUACGGUGAGCCUGUCAUUAUUCAGAGAGGCUAGAUCCUCGGUGUUGAGAAGGAUCAUGAUAGGCUCCUCGGUGUUCUCCAGG
RNAcentral lists this microRNA precursor (93 nucleotides) under Dipodomys ordii (Ord's kangaroo rat). RNAcentral describes it as "mir-433 microRNA precursor family". It matches the Rfam family "mir-433 microRNA precursor family". The record is from Rfam by way of RNAcentral. Lineage: Eukaryota; Metazoa; Chordata; Mammalia; Rodentia; Heteromyidae.